GGCUCAGAACGAACGCUGGCGGCAGGCUUAACACAUGCAAGUCGAGCGCCCCGCAAGGGGAGCGGCAGACGGGUGAGUAACGCGUGGGAAUCUACCCUUUUCUACGGAAUAACGCAGGGAAACUUGUGCUAAUACCGUAUGAGCCCUUCGGGGGAAAGAUUUAUCGGGAAAGGAUGAGCCCGCGUUGGAUUAGCUAGUUGGUGGGGUAAAGGCCUACCAAGGCGACGAUCCAUAGCUGGUCUGAGAGGAUGAUCAGCCACAUUGGGACUGAGACACGGCCCAAACUCCUACGGGAGGCAGCAGUGGGGAAUAUUGGACAAUGGGCGCAAGCCUGAUCCAGCCAUGCCGCGUGAGUGAUGAAGGCCCUAGGGUUGUAAAGCUCUUUCACCGGUGAAGAUAAU
RNAcentral lists this ribosomal RNA (401 nucleotides) under Ensifer meliloti. Its description in RNAcentral is "Sinorhizobium meliloti bacterial SSU rRNA". It matches the Rfam family "Bacterial small subunit ribosomal RNA", at positions 21 to 452 of the family's 1533-position model. The record is from RNAcentral. Lineage: Bacteria; Pseudomonadati; Pseudomonadota; Alphaproteobacteria; Hyphomicrobiales; Rhizobiaceae.